ACUGUAUGACGCCGUUGACUUUUUAUCCAACGUUUGACCAUUCGUCUUAUUCAAAAAAUUUAUGUAGUUAUUAUUUAUUUUAUUCUGACUUGAUUAAUCAUCGAAUGUUCUUUAAGAAUGACAUAAAUAUUUGCGUAUUUGCAUUAAAAUUUUGAAUAAAACGAAUGGUCAAACGUUGAUAAAAAGUCAACGGCGUCGUACAUU
Molecule: microRNA precursor, 204 nt
Organism: Oryza sativa Japonica Group (Japanese rice)
Lineage: Eukaryota; Viridiplantae; Streptophyta; Magnoliopsida; Poales; Poaceae
Rfam family: MIR812 microRNA precursor family
Source: Rfam